RNAcentral lists this ribosomal RNA (292 nucleotides) under Paenibacillus sp. VT-400. RNAcentral's name for it is "partial 16S ribosomal RNA". It matches the Rfam family "Bacterial small subunit ribosomal RNA", at positions 1 to 277 of the family's 1533-position model. Lineage: Bacteria; Bacillati; Bacillota; Bacilli; Caryophanales; Paenibacillaceae. The record is from RNAcentral.
CUUUAUUGGAGAGUUUGAUCCUGGCUCAGGACGAACGCUGGCGGCAUGCCUAAUACAUGCAAGUCGAGCGGAGUUGAUAGGAAGCUUGCUUCCUUGAUACUUAGCGGCGGACGGGUGAGUAACACGUAGGCAACCUGCCCUCAAGUUUGGGACAACUACCGGAAACGGUAGCUAAUACCGAAUAAUUGUUUUCUUCGCCUGAAGGAAACUGGAAAGACGGAGCAAUCUGUCACUUGGGGAUGGGCCUGCGGCGCAUUAGCUAGUUGGUGAGGUAACGGCUCACCAAGGCGAC